UGGGAAGUAUUGGGCAAUGGGCGCAAGCCUGACCCAGCAACGCCGCGUGAAGGAAGAAGGCUUUCGGGUUGUAAACUUCUUUUCUGAGGGACGAUAGUGACGGUACCUCAGGAAUAAGCCACGGCUAACUACGUGCCAGCAGCCGCGGUAAUACGUAGGUGGCAAGCGUUAUCCGGAUUUACUGGGUGUAAAGGGCGUGUAGGCGGGAUGGUAAGUCAGAUGUGAAAACUAUGGGCUCAACCCAUAGCCUGCAUUUGAAACUAUCGUUCUUGAGUGUUGGAGAGGCAGGCGGAAUUCCGUGUGUAGCGGUGAAAUGCGUAGAUAUACGGAGGAACACCAGUGGCGAAGGCGGCCUGCUGGACAAUAACUGACGCUGAGGCGCGAAAGCGUGGGGAGCAAACAGGAUUAGAUACCC
This 415-nucleotide ribosomal RNA is filed under the name uncultured bacterium. RNAcentral describes it as "bacterial SSU rRNA". It matches the Rfam family "Bacterial small subunit ribosomal RNA", at positions 355 to 787 of the family's 1533-position model. The record is from RNAcentral.